AUUGAACGCUGGCGGCAGGCCUAACACAUGCAAGUCGAGCGGCAGCGGGAAAGUAGCUUGCUACUUUUGCCGGCGAGCGGCGGACGGGUGAGUAAUGCCUGGGAAAUUGCCCAGUCGAGGGGGAUAACAGUUGGAAACGACUGCUAAUACCGCAUACGCCCUACGGGGGAAAGCAGGGGACCUUCGGGCCUUGCGCGAUUGGAUAUGCCCAGGUGGGAUUAGCUAGUUGGUGAGGUAAUGGCUCACCAAGGCGACGAUCCCUAGCUGGUCUGAGAGGAUGGUACGCCACACUGGAACUGAGACACGGUCCAGACUCCUACGGGAGGCAGCAGUGGGGAAUAUUGCACAAUGGGGGAAACCCUGAUGCAGCCAUGCCGCGUGUGUGAAGAAGGCCUUCGGGUUGUAAAGCACUUUCAGCGAGGAGGAAAGGUUGAUGCCUAAUACGUAUCAACUGUGACGUUACUCGCAGAAGAAGCACCGGCUAACUCCGUGCCAGCAGCCGCCGUAA
RNAcentral lists this ribosomal RNA (508 nucleotides) under uncultured bacterium. RNAcentral's name for it is "partial 16S ribosomal RNA". It matches the Rfam family "Bacterial small subunit ribosomal RNA", at positions 30 to 523 of the family's 1533-position model. The record is from RNAcentral.